AACGAACGCUGGCGGCAUGCCUAACACAUGCAAGUCGAACGAGACCUUCGGGUCGAGCGGCGCACGGGUGCGUAACGCGUGGGAACCUGCCCUUAGGCUCGGAAUAACUUCCCGAAAGGGGUGCUAAUACCGGAUAAUGUCUUCGGACCAAAGAGUUGUCGCCUUUGGAUGGGCCCGCGUUAGAUUAGCUAGUUGGUAGGGUAAAAGCCUACCAAGGCGACGAUCCAUAGCUGGUCUGAGAGGAUGAUCAGCCACACUGGGACUGAGACACGGCCCAGACUACUACAGGCGGCAGCAGUGAGGAAUAUUAGAGGAUGGGCGAAAGCCUCAUCCAGCAAUGCCGCGUGAGUGAUGAAGGCCUUAGGGUUAUAAAGCUCUUUUACCCAGGAUGAUAAUGACAGUACCGGGAGAAUAAGCUCCGGCUAACUACGUG
RNAcentral lists this ribosomal RNA (433 nucleotides) under uncultured bacterium. RNAcentral's name for it is "partial 16S ribosomal RNA". It matches the Rfam family "Bacterial small subunit ribosomal RNA", at positions 29 to 507 of the family's 1533-position model. The record is from RNAcentral.